Molecule: ribosomal RNA, 720 nt
Filed under: Phrynobatrachus mababiensis (Mababe puddle frog)
Lineage: Eukaryota; Metazoa; Chordata; Amphibia; Anura; Phrynobatrachidae
Description: partial 16S ribosomal RNA
Rfam family: Bacterial large subunit ribosomal RNA
Source: RNAcentral
AUUGACUUUCUCCUAAAUACAAGCUUACACCAACAUUGACAAACUACUGGUUCUUAACGUAACUGACUCUACUGUAACAACUAGCCCCAAGCAAACAUUACAGCUAUAAACGUUACCCUGACACUAGAGUAUUAUAGGAAAGAUUAAAAGAGAGAGAAGGAACUCGGCAAAUAUAACCCCGCCUGUUUACCAAAAACAUCGCCUCCUGAUUUCCCAUAGGAGGUCCAGCCUGCCCAGUGACUCUGUUCAACGGCCUCGGUAUCCUGACCGAGCGAAGGUAGCAUAAUAACUUGUUCUUUAAAUAGGGACUUGCAUCAACGGCAUCACGAGGGUUAGACUGUCUCCUCCCUCUAAUCAGUGAACCUGACCUCUUCGUGAAGAGGCGAAGAUUCGACUAUAAGACGAGAAGACCCCAUGGAGCUUAAAAUAUAGAAACACUUUCUUUCUACACACCCUAAGAAACAAGAAAGUUUGUUAGCUAAUUUUUGGCUGGGGUGCCCGAGGAGAACAACCUAUCCUCCCUGAUGACCACUAUCCAAGAGUAACAACUCAAAGAAACAGUAAACUGACAUAACAUGACCCGAUAUAACUAUCGAUCAACGAACCAAGUUACCCUGGGGAUAACAGCGCAAUCCAUUUCAAGAGCCCUUAUCGACAAAUGGGUUUACGACCUCGAUGUUGGAUCAGGGUAUCCUAGUGGUGCAGCAGCUACUAAAGGUU